This 424-nucleotide ribosomal RNA is filed under the name Podarcis peloponnesiacus (Peloponnese wall lizard). RNAcentral describes it as "partial large subunit ribosomal RNA". The record is from RNAcentral. Lineage: Eukaryota; Metazoa; Chordata; Lepidosauria; Squamata; Lacertidae.
GGCUUAAUGAGAACAAAACUGUCUCUUACGGACUAGCCAAKGAAAUUGAUCCUUCARUACAAAAGCUGAAAUUAACCCAUAAGACGAGAAGACCCUGUGGAGCUUCAAAACCAAAACCACCAAACAUGCUUCCUGGUUUUUUAGUUGGGGCGACUUUGGAGCAAAAAAAACCCUCCAAAACAUAAAUCCAUUUAUUAAGACUAACACAUCAAAAAUAAUAUCAUAGACCCAGCAGUACCUAUUUACUGCCUGACCAAUGAACCAAGUUACCCCAGGGAUAACAGCGCCAUCCUCUUCUAGAGUCCCUAUCGACAAGAGGGUUUACGACCUCGAUGUUGGAUCAGGGCACCCCUAUAGUGCAGCCGCUAUAAAAGGUUCGUUUGUUCAACGAUUAAAGUCCUACGUGAUCUGAGUUCAGACCGGA